GGACGUAGGUCAGUGGGAGAGCACUUGCCUCACGCAUGAGGCCCUGGGUUCAGUCCCCAGCCCA
This 64-nucleotide transfer RNA is filed under the name Marmota monax (woodchuck). RNAcentral describes it as "tRNA.SeC". The record is from RNAcentral. Lineage: Eukaryota; Metazoa; Chordata; Mammalia; Rodentia; Sciuridae.